RNAcentral lists this ribosomal RNA (195 nucleotides) under uncultured bacterium. RNAcentral describes it as "partial 16S ribosomal RNA". It matches the Rfam family "Bacterial small subunit ribosomal RNA", at positions 326 to 539 of the family's 1533-position model. The record is from RNAcentral.
ACGCUCGACACUACGGAGCAGCAGUGGGGAAUAUUGCACAAUGGGGGAAACCCUGAUGCAGCAACGCCGCGUGAAGGAAGACGGUUUUCGGAUUGUAAACUUCUGUUCUUAGUGAAGAUAGUGACGGUAGCUAAGGAGCAAGCCACGGCUAACUACGUGCCAGCAGCCGCGGUAAUCUGAGCGGGCUGGCAAGGC